This 184-nucleotide ribosomal RNA is filed under the name uncultured bacterium. RNAcentral describes it as "partial 16S ribosomal RNA". It matches the Rfam family "Bacterial small subunit ribosomal RNA", at positions 1303 to 1500 of the family's 1533-position model. The record is from RNAcentral.
GGCUGAAAUUCGCCUUCAUGAAGCUGGAAUUGCUAGUAAUGGCAGGUCAGCAUACUGCCGUGAAUACGUUCCCGGGCCUUGUACACACCGCCCGUCACACCAUGAGAGUUGAGAAUACCCGAAGUCCAUGUCAAAGUGGCCGAAGGUAGGCUUGAUGAUUGGGGUGAAGUCGUAACAAGGUAGC